This is a ribosomal RNA of Bison bison bison, 136 nucleotides long. The record is from Ensembl. NCBI's taxonomy places the organism in Eukaryota, Metazoa, Chordata, Mammalia, Artiodactyla, Bovidae.
GUCUACCGCAAUACCACCUUGAACGCGCCAGAUGUCUUCUGAUUUCGGAUGCUAAGCAGGGUCGGGCCUGCUUAGUACUUGCUAGUGCUUAGAUUUUGUAUAUGCGUGAGCCCGCCAGCCAAAGGUGCUGCUGGUA